UUUAAAAUAUUGAACCAAUAAUUAUCUUAAAUAUUAAAUGUGAUAUUAAAAAUUCUCUGAACCAAGUUAAGUGGCUGAAAAUAUGAAAUGAAAUAUUUGCUGAUUAAGGGGAGAUAAAUCCUAAUGAUUUUUAGUGCAAUUAAAAAAAAAAUGUACAGAUUUAUGAUAUGAGUUUGUGUAUUUGUAUAUUAAAAUGAAAUUUGUACAUAUACAGUUGACUAUGCAAAUGCUUAAUUAUUUAUACAUACAUGUAGCUUUUAUUUUGUAAUCUUUGUUUUGUAAUUGUAUCAAACUUUCAAGUAUUAAAAAUUAUAGAAUUAAAAAAAGUCUGCACUUCGAAAAAUAAUCUUGAUUUUUCAUUUUUUUUUUUAUCAAAAAUAAAAAUACAAAGAUCUUGUGUUAUGGAAAUAAAUAGUAUGUACAUUUUUUGUCAAGCAUCCAGUUCCUUCUUAAGUUGAUAUUUUCAGAUUUUCUUCAUGUUUGAAUUUUAAGAAAAUACAGUAAAAAGGGGCAUAAGACACUUGAAAAAUUAAUAUCAUUCAGUACUUCAAGUACUUUUGUUUAACAGAUAGAAAGUAUGCUUUAAGAAAUCAAAGAAAUUCCUCAGGUUUUUCUAUUUUUAAUAAUUUUGCACAUAAAAAUAUAAACGUUCUUACUAUUUGAUCAACAAGUCAGGCAGAGUUGACUAAAUAGAU
Molecule: long non-coding RNA, 695 nt
Filed under: Mytilus galloprovincialis (Mediterranean mussel)
Lineage: Eukaryota; Metazoa; Mollusca; Bivalvia; Mytilida; Mytilidae
Source: RNAcentral